Non-coding RNA from Acanthosepion pharaonis, 89 nucleotides. Lineage: Eukaryota; Metazoa; Mollusca; Cephalopoda; Sepiida; Sepiidae. The record is from the annotation of a GenBank genome assembly.
ACACGACAGUUUCCGUACGAUCAUCGAAGUUAAGCAACAUCGAGUCUGGUCAGUACCUAGGUGGGUGACCACUUGGGAAGACCAGCCGU